AACGUACGCUGGCGGCAGGCCUAACACAUGCAAGUCGAACGCCCUAGCAAUAGGGAGUGGCGCACGGGUGCGUAACGCGUGGGAAUAUGCCCUUCACUGCGGAAUAACGUUUGGAAACGAACGCUAAUACCGCAUAAUGACUCCGGUCCAAAGAUUUAUCGGUGAAGGAUUAGCCCGCGUUAGAUUAGCUAGUUGGUGAGGUAAGAGCUCACCAAGGCAACGAUCUAUAGCUGGUCUGAGAGGAUGAUCAGCCACACUGGGACUGAGACACGGGCCAGACUCCUACGGGAGGCAGCAGUGAGGAAUAUUGGACAAUGGGCGCAAGCUUGAUCCAGCCAUGCCGCGUGAGUGAAGAAGGCCUUCGGGUUGUAAAGCUCUUUCAGUUGUAAAGAUAAUGACGGUAACAACAGAAGAAGCCCCGGCUAAAUUCGUGCCAGCCGCCGCGGUAA
RNAcentral lists this ribosomal RNA (449 nucleotides) under uncultured bacterium. Its description in RNAcentral is "partial 16S ribosomal RNA". It matches the Rfam family "Bacterial small subunit ribosomal RNA", at positions 29 to 523 of the family's 1533-position model. The record is from RNAcentral.